Molecule: ribosomal RNA, 497 nt
Filed under: uncultured bacterium
Lineage: Bacteria
Description: partial 16S ribosomal RNA
Rfam family: Bacterial small subunit ribosomal RNA
Source: RNAcentral
GAUGAACGCUGGCGGCGUGCCUAAUACAUGCAAGUCGAGCGAACGGACGAGAAGCUUGCUUCUCUGAUGUUAGCGGCGGACGGGUGAGUAACACGUGGAUAACCUACCUAUAAGACUGGGAUAAUUUCGGGAAACCGGAGCUAAUACCGGAUGAUCUUUUGAACCGCAUGGUUCAAAAGUGAAAGACGGUCUUGCUGUCACUUAUAGAUGGAUCCGCGCUGCAUUAGCUAGUUGGUAAGGUAACGGCUUACCAAGGCAACGAUGCAUAGCCGACCUGAGAGGGUGAUCGGCCACACUGGAACGGAGACGCGGUCCAGACGCCUACGGGAGGCAGCAGUAGGGAAUCGGCCGCAGUAGGCGAAAGCCUGACGGAGCAACGCCGCGUGAGUGAUGAAGGUCUUCGGAGCGUAAAACUCGGUUAUUAGGGAAGAACAUAUGUGUAAGGAACUGUGCACAGCUUGACGGUACCUGAUCAGAAAGCCACGGCUAACUACGUG